This 2396-nucleotide long non-coding RNA is filed under the name Zea mays. Its description in RNAcentral is "long non-coding RNA (ZMAY_LNC000884)". Lineage: Eukaryota; Viridiplantae; Streptophyta; Magnoliopsida; Poales; Poaceae. The record is from RNAcentral.
UUCCCUCUUCCUUGCUUGCCCCCCCCCUCUAUCCCUCUCCUCCCAAGUGUUUGCAACCACACCACCUAACCCUAGCCGCCCCCCAUCUCCUCCUCUCCAAGGUGCCAUUCCUUGCCGCUUGGAUCUACGUCGCGUGGUGCAAGUCCCGAAUUGGUUUUGGUGGAGGGAAGAAGGGAGGAAGAAAAGGGAGAGAAUUCAAGGUGAUUUUUGUGAUUAUCUCUUGUUUAUUUGUGCUGCAAUUCCAUUGAAUAGAUGUUACGUAUGCGAAUUGGUAGAGGUGCUGUCCAGAAAUUUAGUGGGUGGGCGAACAGCAGUAGUUCUAGUGAUUUCUGGGAAUUUUUCGUGGUAAUUAGUGGAGAUCAGUGGGAGAAUCAUGUAGAGAUUUGUCAUACCUUUCCAACGAGUACUUAUGCACUCGAUUCGUAGUUAUAUUUUAGUAGAUAUCGCUGUUUGAAUCCGGGUAUGUUGCUGUCCAAAAAACAGAUUUGCAGGUGGGCGAACAGCAGUAGUAUUGACAGUUUCUGGGGAUUUUUCGUGGGUAAUUGGUGAUAAUCAGUAUGAUAAUCAUGUAGAGCUUUGUCAUACCUUUCCAACGAGUACUUAUGCACUCGAUUCGGAGUUAUAUUUUAGUAGAUAUCGCUGUUUGAAUCCGGGUAUGUUGCUGUCCAAAAAAACAGAUUUGCAGGUGGGCGAACAGCAGUAUUAUUGACAGUUUCUGGGGAUUUUUCGUGGGUAAUUGGUGAUAAUCAGUAUGAUAAUCAUGUAGGGCUUUUUCAUACCUUUCCAACGAGUACUUAUGCACUCGAUUCGGAGUUAUAUUUUAGUAGAUAUCGCUGUUUGAAUUCGGGUAUGUUGCUGUCCAAAAAAAACAGAUUUGCAGGUGGGCGAACAGCAGUAGUAUUGAUAGUUUCUGGGGAUUUUUCGUGGAUAAUUGGUGAUAAUCAGUAUGAUAAUCAUGUAGAGAUUUUUCAUACCUUUCCAACGAGUACUUAUGCGCUCGAUUCGGAGUUAUAUUUUGGUAGAUAUCGCUGUUUGAAUCCGGGUAGGUUGCGGUCCAAAAACAGAUUGCAGGGUUUACCUUGUGGACUGUAUUGGGCUAAUUAGAUAUUGGAAUUUGAUUAUAAAUUGUAUACAAAACUGGUGGGGAAUUUUAUGUAGAUGCUUCCGGAGUUUUUGAUUGAUAUCACUGCUGAGUUUUUGAUUGAUAUCACUGCUGUUACAAUUUUAAAGUUAUGAAAUUAUCAAGCAGCGCCGCUGCAAUUUGGUGGUGAUGGGGAGAGUUGUCGCUCGCGACGGGUUGGAAUUGUGCGUAGGUGCGGCAUGGUUUAUUAGCGUUUGUUAUGUGAAUUUGUGCACUAAGGUGUGUGUCAAAAAUAGGUGGUGGACUUUCGGAUCGUACUUAGUACCAUUUCAAAUUCCUGGUGAAGGCAAGUAAAUACAGUGGUUGCUGCUACCGUUUGGUUUGCAUCCUAUUCCCUGUCAUUGAGUAUGCAUAAGUUUUAAAUAUGUUAAUCAUUGAAUUCUAUGAUGAAGUUUAUUUGUUCUAAAGUAUUAAUUCUCAAUUGUCUAAUAUUGUGGAUGAUCAUGAUUUGGUAAUGAUAUAUGUGGUUGAUUCUCAUCUUGGAUGAAGUUGAAGUAUCUUUUUGAAUCACGUUAUAUGAAGUGUUGUAGGCAUAUCAUGCACAUCGCAUCAUCCAUCUUGCAUUCUGAAGUUAUGUCGUGAUCUUAUGGUCCGACCGUACCGGUACAUUUUUAGCAUCGUACGUUGCCCGAGGAGGGGUACGAUGAGGCUUCAUAUCCUUAGAGGUAUGAAGGCAGAAGUCAUCCUUGCAUUUGCAGACAUUUGCACUCAUGAGGUAUAUAUGAAGUGUGACAUUACUAUGUUACUAUUGUGGUUUCUACCUGCGAUAUGUGGUAACUAGGAGUGUUGUACGUUGUAUACGUGUUGCACCUUCGUAAUAAGAAGGUUGUGAAAUCAAGUCGUGGUAAAACAAUGUUCUUAUGUGGUUAAACAGUUUGAUAUUAUUUUACUUGUUGAGAUGUGUCAUCUCACUCUUGCAUUACUCAAUGCAGGUACUUGAUACAUGUUGGGAAUGAGGGGAGUAGCAGCACGUCCACUUUCACUCUCAUAAUAACGCUGCCCAGGCGGAGCCAUGAUUUAAUUAGAAACUUGUUGUCAAAGGAAGUUUUUUUAGCUAGUCGUGCGCACUGGUUAAUUCAGUUCAUGUCGUAUGUUUAACUUCCCUUUGCUAGCCGAUUAAUAAUACUUAGUAUGUUUUUGUCAUGAUAUAUGUUUAUACACUGUUGCCCCCCCUCAUUUAUGCCAUUUUGCAAAGGAGAUGCUGCCAAAAUUUUAUAUAGAUGUCAGAAGUGUAGUUCAGUAGCAUUCCAGGGUG